RNAcentral lists this long non-coding RNA (386 nucleotides) under Sorghum bicolor (sorghum). RNAcentral describes it as "long non-coding RNA (SBIC_LNC001150)". Lineage: Eukaryota; Viridiplantae; Streptophyta; Magnoliopsida; Poales; Poaceae. The record is from RNAcentral.
GUAAGUUCUUGUUUUAUUGUUCUUUGGUUUAUGAGUUUACUUUAAUCUCUUCGCGUAGAGUUUAGAGUAAUCAUCUCUAGCGUAGACGUGGUGUUUGGGCUAGGAUACUCAUAGAUAUUCCCUGACUAGCUAGACCGUGGUAGUAGCGAGGAACGUGACAUUUCCGAGUUACCUUUGCAAACCAUAUCUCGUUAGCAGGAAGGAUAGGGUUUAUAGGUGUGGGUUGAACAUCCUCUGUGGUGUCUAGAUUCCGUAAGCUUCCCCAAUAGAACAACAGUAGAUUAUCCUUACCAAGACUACAAAGAGAUUACGGUUGUAGUCUUCGCUAUAUAUCACUCACUCGAGAAACAUUCUUUGUAGCCUAAAGGUUAGUAGUAAUAGACUGG